RNAcentral lists this non-coding RNA (36 nucleotides) under Hemiselmis virescens. Lineage: Eukaryota; Cryptophyceae; Cryptomonadales; Hemiselmidaceae. The record is from RNAcentral.
CACGCUGGCUGGAGGCUUCUCGACACUAUCUGCUCU